This 352-nucleotide ribosomal RNA is filed under the name uncultured bacterium. Its description in RNAcentral is "bacterial SSU rRNA". It matches the Rfam family "Bacterial small subunit ribosomal RNA", at positions 917 to 1271 of the family's 1533-position model. The record is from RNAcentral.
GGGCCCGCACAAGCGGUGGAGCAUGUGGUUUAAUUCGAUGAUACGCGAGGAACCUUACCAGGGCUUAAAUGUAGAGUGACAGCUUGAGAAAUCAGGUCUCCUUCGGGCACUCUACAAGGUGCUGCAUGGUUGUCGUCAGCUCGUGCCGUGAGGUGUCGGGUUAAGUCCCAUAACGAGCGCAACCCCUAUUCUUAGUUGCCAGCGAGUAAUGUCGGGGACUCUAAGAAAACUGCCAGCGCAAGCUGUGAGGAAGGUGGGGAUGACGUCAAAUCAUCACGGCCCUUACGUCCUGGGCUACACACGUGCUACAAUGGUAAGUACAGAGGGCAGCCACAUGGUGACAUGGAGCUAA